CAGAGCCGCGGUAAUACAGAGGGUGCGAGCGUUAAUCGGAUUUACUGGGCGUAAAGCGUGCGUAGGCGGCUUUUUAAGUCGGAUGUGAAAUCCCUGAGCUUAACUUAGGAAUUGCAUUCGAUACUGGGAAGCUAGAGUAUGGGAGAGGAUGGUAGAAUUCCAGGUGUAGCGGUGAAAUGCGUAGAGAUCUGGAGGAAUACCGAUGGCGAAGGCAGCCAUCUGGCCUAAUACUGACGCUGAGGUACGAAAGCAUGGGGAGCAAACAGGAUUAGAUACCCGCGUAGUCCCUGUCUCUUAUACC
Molecule: ribosomal RNA, 301 nt
Filed under: uncultured bacterium
Lineage: Bacteria
Description: partial 16S ribosomal RNA
Rfam family: Bacterial small subunit ribosomal RNA
Source: RNAcentral